This is a small nucleolar RNA of Arachis stenosperma, 106 nucleotides long. Lineage: Eukaryota; Viridiplantae; Streptophyta; Magnoliopsida; Fabales; Fabaceae. The record is from RefSeq and is a predicted model, not a curated record.
ACAUGUCCAGAGGACACCUUCUUGUCAACUCUUUGUAUCUCUCCCAUGCUUCAUAGAGAGUUUCACCAUCUUGUUGUUUGAAUGUUUGAAUCUCAGCCCUCAAUCU